RNAcentral lists this ribosomal RNA (492 nucleotides) under uncultured bacterium. Its description in RNAcentral is "partial 16S ribosomal RNA". It matches the Rfam family "Bacterial small subunit ribosomal RNA", at positions 29 to 507 of the family's 1533-position model. The record is from RNAcentral.
AGUGAACGCUGGCGGUAGGCCUAACACAUGCAAGUCGAACGGCAGCACAGUAAGAGCUUGCUCUUACGGGUGGCGAGUGGCGGACGGGUGAGGAAUACAUCGGAAUCUACUUUUUCGUGGGGGAUAACGUAGGGAAACUUACGCUAAUACCGCAUACGACCUACGGGUGAAAGCAGGGGAUCUUCGGACCUUGCGCGAUUGAAUGAGCCGAUGUCGGAUUAGUUAGUUGGGGGGGUAAAGGCCAACCAAGGCGACGAUCCGUAGCUGGUCUGAGAGGAUGAUCGGCCACACUGGAAGGGAGACACGGUCCAGGCGACUACGAGAGGCAGCAGUGGGGAAUAUUGGACAGUAGGCGCAAGCAUGGUCCAGCCAUACCGCGUGGGAGAAGAAGGCCUUCGGGUUGGAAAGCCCGUUUGUUGGGAAAGAAAAGCAGCAGGUUAAUACCCCGCUGUUCUGACGGUACCGAAAGAAUAAGCACCGGCUAACUUCGUG